AACGUAGGAGACAAACGUUAUCCGGAGUACUGGGCGUAAAGGGCGUGUAGGCGGUCUGUUAAGUCUGGCGUGAAAGCUCUCGGCUAAACCGGGAGAGGUCGUUGGAUACUGGCAGACUAGAGGACGGUAGAGGCGUGUGGAAUUCCGGGUGUAGUGGUGAAAUGCGUAGAGAUCCGGAGGAACACCAGUGGCGAAGGCGACACGCUGGGCCGUACCUGACGCUAAAGCGCGACAGCAUGGGGAGCAAACGGG
Molecule: ribosomal RNA, 252 nt
Filed under: uncultured bacterium
Lineage: Bacteria
Description: partial 16S ribosomal RNA
Rfam family: Bacterial small subunit ribosomal RNA
Source: RNAcentral